AGUGAACGCUGGCGGUAGGCCUAACACAUGCAAGUCGAACGGCAGCACAGAGGAGCUUGCUCCUUGGGUGGCGAGUGGCGGACGGGUGAGGAAUACAUCGGAAUCUACUCUGUCGUGGGGGAUAACGUAGGGAAACUUACGCUAAUACCGCAUACGACCUACGGGUGAAAGCAGUGGAUCUUCGGACCUUGCGCGAUUGAAUGAGCCGAUGUCGGAUUAGCUAGUUGGCGGGGUAAAGGACCACCAAGGCGACGAUCCGUAGCUGGCCUGAGGGGGUGAUCGGCCACACUGUAGCUGAGAGACGGUCCAGACUCCUACGGUAGGCAGAGAGGGGGAAUAUUGGACAUUGGUGGCAAGCAUAAUCCAGCAAUACCGGGUGGGUGAAGAAGGACUUCGGGUUGUAAAGCCCUUUUGUUGGGAGAGAAAUCCAUCUGGUUAAUACCCGGGGGGGAUGACGGUACCCAAAGAAUAAGCACCGGCUAACUUCGUGCCAGCCGCCGCCGUAA
This 506-nucleotide ribosomal RNA is filed under the name uncultured bacterium. Its description in RNAcentral is "partial 16S ribosomal RNA". It matches the Rfam family "Bacterial small subunit ribosomal RNA", at positions 29 to 523 of the family's 1533-position model. The record is from RNAcentral.